RNAcentral lists this ribosomal RNA (371 nucleotides) under uncultured Sphingobacteriales bacterium. RNAcentral's name for it is "bacterial SSU rRNA". It matches the Rfam family "Bacterial small subunit ribosomal RNA", at positions 1010 to 1382 of the family's 1533-position model. The record is from RNAcentral. Lineage: Bacteria; Pseudomonadati; Bacteroidota; Sphingobacteriia; Sphingobacteriales.
UAAAGCGGAGGUAUUCGGGGAGGACAGGUGCUGCAUGGUUGUCGUCAGCUCGUGCCGUGAGGUGUCGGGUUAAGUCCCAUAACGAGCGCAACCCCUAUCAUUAGUUGCCAUCAGGUCAAGCUGGGGACUCUAAUGAAACUGCCUACGCAAGUAGUGAGGAAGUGGGGAUGACGUCAAAUCAGCACGGCCCUUACGUCCAGGGCUACACACGUGCUACAAUGGCCGGUACAAAGGGCAGCUACCUGGUGACAGGAUGCUAAUCUCAAAAGCCGGUCUCAGUUCGGAUUGCAGUCUGCAACUCGACUGCAUGAAGUUGGAAUCGCUAGUAAUCGUGGAUCAGCCAAGCCGCGGUGAAUACGUUCCCGGGCCUU